Molecule: long non-coding RNA, 633 nt
Organism: Brassica oleracea var. oleracea
Lineage: Eukaryota; Viridiplantae; Streptophyta; Magnoliopsida; Brassicales; Brassicaceae
Exons: 2
Source: RefSeq, a predicted model, not a curated record
UUUUGGCUAUUCAGAUCAAAAACAAGUUUCGCACAACUUGGCCAGAUUCCACCUUCUCUCCGGGAUCUCACUAGUUUGUCUUACAUCAAGCUUUCCCAGAACCAGAGCUCCACGGUCUGAUACCUCAUACCGGCAAAACGAGCACAGUUUCAGGCUCAAUCUGCUUUGCCUUUUGAAGGUAAUCUAGGACUCUGUGGUCUUCCACUAAGUGAACGUUGUGGAGAGCAAUUACAAGAGCCAGAACCAGAGGAAGUAAGAGUACUGAGCUGGACUGCAGCUGCCAUAGUCUUCGUACCCGGACUCAUCCUUGGGUUGACAACUGGGUACAUCGUGGCUACACAAAAGCCUCACUGGUUCAUGAGAUAUCUAGCGUGAUAAAGCUCGGAAGCAGAGGAUCCUGUUAGGUCACUUCAAUAGCAAAGUUUGAGAAGCUACAGCAAAAGAUACCCUAAAGUGAGGAGCAAUGACUAAGAAGUUGAGAUCUUUCCUCUCCCAAUACGCUUGGUUAUGUACGGUACAAGAAAUACUUUCUUCUUGUAGGCUUAUAUGCAUGCAGCUUCUUUAUUGAAAAAGAAAAUGAAUAAUAGAAUCGUUAUUGACCAUUUAAGAUUUGUUGAAUAGAUUUUUAAUAUA